Molecule: long non-coding RNA, 203 nt
Filed under: Theobroma cacao (cacao)
Lineage: Eukaryota; Viridiplantae; Streptophyta; Magnoliopsida; Malvales; Malvaceae
Description: long non-coding RNA (TCAC_LNC001053)
Source: RNAcentral
UUGAUUAUGAAAUUGAGUAAUUGGAGGCUGCAAAUUGACUUGAAAAAUAUAUAUUUUCCUAGGAAUGGCUUAUGAGAAAUGAGUAUAUGUGGCUAUAUUUUGUGAGUGCAUUGGAAAAUUUAUGUAAGUUGUUUUUACUAUGCAGGCUGGAUAAAUAAAUAAAAGUCACGUUAUACUAUCGAAAUUUUAUUAAAAUUGGUGGG